CCGACCUUAGCUCAGUUGGUAGAGCGGAGGACUGUAGUCGGGUCAAAUAAAACCCACAGAUUAAUCCUUAGGUCAACUGGUUCGAAUCCGGUAGGUCGGA
RNAcentral lists this transfer RNA (100 nucleotides) under Solanum lycopersicum (tomato). It matches the Rfam family "tRNA". From Rfam's summary of the family: Transfer RNA (tRNA) molecules are approximately 80 nucleotides in length. Their secondary structure includes four short double-helical elements and three loops (D, anti-codon, and T loops). Lineage: Eukaryota; Viridiplantae; Streptophyta; Magnoliopsida; Solanales; Solanaceae. The record is from Rfam by way of RNAcentral.